RNAcentral lists this ribosomal RNA (893 nucleotides) under uncultured Acidobacteriota bacterium. RNAcentral describes it as "bacterial SSU rRNA". It matches the Rfam family "Bacterial small subunit ribosomal RNA", at positions 58 to 948 of the family's 1533-position model. The record is from RNAcentral. Lineage: Bacteria; Pseudomonadati; Acidobacteriota.
CAAGUCGAACGCGCAGCAUUCUGUAGCAAUACAGGAUGUGGGCGCGUGGCGAACGGGUGCGUAACACGUGGAUAACCUUCCUUCAGGUGGGGAAUAACCCAGCGAAAGUUGGGCUAAUACCGCAUCACAUUACGAGGGCACAUGCUCUUGUACUCAAAGCCGCAAGGCGCCAGAAGAGGGAUCCGCGGCCGAUUAGCUAGUUGGCGAGGUAAUGGCUCACCAAGGCAAUGAUCGGUAGCCGGACUGAGAGGUUGGCCGGCCACACUGGAACUGAGACACGGUCCAGACUCCUACGGGAGGCAGCAGUGGGGAAUCUUGCGCAAUGGGCGAAAGCCUGACGCAGCAACGCCGCGUGGGGGAUGAAGCUUCUCGGAGUGUAAACCCCUUUCGACCCGGAAGAAUGCCCGCAAGGGUUUGACGGUACGGGUAUAAGAAGCCCCGGCUAACUACGUGCCAGCAGCCGCGGUAAUACGUAGGGGGCCAGCGUUGCUCGGAAUUACUGGGCGUAAAGGGUCCGUAGGCGGUGUGGCAAGUCGGGAGUGAAAUCUCUGGGCUUAACUCAGAGGCUGCUUCCGAAACUGCCGUGCUAGAGUGUGAGAGAGGCGAGUGGAAUUGCGGGUGUAGCGGUGAAAUGCGUAGAUAUCCGCAGGAACAUCCGAGGCGAAAGCGGCUCGCUGGAUCACAACUGACGCUGAGGGACGAAAGCUAGGGGAGCAAACAGGAUUAGAUACCCUGGUAGUCCUAGCCCUAAACCAUCAGGACUUGGGGUUUGCCCUGUACGGGGCAAGUCCCGUAGCUAACGCGUUAAGUCCUGCGCCUGGGGAGUACGGUCGCAAGACUGAAACUCAAAGGAAUUGACGGGGGCCCGCACAAGCGGUGGAACAUGUGGUUCA